Long non-coding RNA from Stegostoma tigrinum, 2342 nucleotides. RefSeq lists it as uncharacterized. The record is from RefSeq and is a predicted model, not a curated record. Lineage: Eukaryota; Metazoa; Chordata; Chondrichthyes; Orectolobiformes; Stegostomatidae. The transcript is spliced from 4 exons.
GCCACGGAGCAUGCGCACUGGGAGAGAUAUCCGGAAUGAAAUGGUCCUCCAUGAGAGCCACAAGUGCAUUCAACAACUUGAAAACUGGAUUGAAAUGAGAGACAGAGCAGCCACUCCAGAAGCUUCCAAAAUCACACUGCACCUUCUUGACCUGCUGCAAUCCACGUGGUGAAGUAGCUCCCAUGUUGCUGUUUGGAUGUGGACUUUGGUGGCUUGGCCAGAAUUUAUUGCCCAUCUGUGAUUGCCCAGAGGGCUAUCAAGUGUCCACUGCAAUGCUGUAAGGCUGGCGUCACAUAUCGACCAAACCAGGGAAUUGGAAAGGGAGCAUCUACUGACAGAAAGCUCAACUCAAACACUGGAUCAGGAACUGCCAGGAACAUUUAAUUCUCUGGAGCUUUGAACAAGGAAGGAACAAGCAUCGUUUACAGUGAAGAGAAACCAUACACGUGGUCUGUGUGGACAAGCCUUCAGUCAGUCGUCUGCCCUGUCAGUACAUAUAUACAGUCAAAACAGGGUGACAACAAUGACAUCCAGCAGCACUUGUUUUGUAAUAUCAUAGUAAUGGAUCUCAGUUUGAGUUAAGCAAUGGCCAGUCAUCUCCUAUCCUCAUUAAGGUCUUUGCACAAACAUAGAGCAAACAGCUAAAUUCCAAAUGUGAGAGUGACGAUCCACUAUCCUAAGACUCCCUUUGACAGACCAUUGUAUUGAGGAAUCAUGACAAAGCUAAAUUCAAUAAGGACCAGAGAAUAUUAUUCUUCCUUGGGUAGCCAGUCUUUGAAAGCAUUGUGUCUUCAGACAUCAGUAGAUCGAAACAAGGUGAAUUUAUUCCAAUUUGUACCACAUACAUAGGGAAGAGGUCUCUAAGUCUAGCUCAGAGACACACAACCUUUUACAGCUCAAAACAGCAUAUUAAGUCAUUUUCACAUCAGAAUGGUUCACGUAACAUUGACACAUAAUUUAUUUCAUAUCAGUUACUUACUACAAAAACAGGACAAAGUUCUGAGUCAUCUAAUUUCAACAGGGCUUCCACUUCCACAGUAUCUUAAGAGCUUCUCUAUCCCACCAUCAGGAUGCAUCACAGGAUGCAAGCGUUUCCGCGUGAGUAAUACUUGCAUGACUAUCUUAAGCUAUACAGAUAGGCACAUAGGGCUCAGGAACUGUUGAUGGUCCACUGUCAUAGACAUGCGGUAAGACUAUGUCUAGAUAUAGUUGUAUUUGACUUAUAUCUUAUGCAGUACUGCUUGGACACAUUUACUUUCUACUUGUUCUGUGUUUUAAAGUUCUGCUCCUUUUCCUUCUCUGUUCCCAAUGUACAUUCUCCUACCCUCCUUACCCUACUUCACCCUGGUUUGAUCAUACUGAAUACAGAAGAAGAGGCUUGUGAUUAUAGGAGGGCAAUCGUCUCAGCUGCAGGAGUUCCUCAGGAUCAGGUUCUAGUCCCAACCACCUUCAGCUGUUUCAUCAAUGACCUUCCCUGCACCAUAAGGUCAGAAGUGGGAAUGUUUGCUGAUGCUUGCACAAUACUUGAGCACCGUUUGUGGCUCCUUGGAUACUGAAGCAGUAGAUAUCUAAAUGCAGUGAGCCUGGACAACAUUGACGUGAGCUUGCCAUGCGACAAAGAACAUUUGCACCAACAAGUACCAAAAAAUAAUGACCAAAUCUGAGAAAUGAGAAUCUAACCACAGCCAAGUGACAUUCACUGGGUGUAUCUUUAUGGAAUUCCCCAUUAUCAUCAUCCUGGGGGCUAAUAUUGAUGAGAAACUGAAAUGGACCUACCAGCUGAAUAAUGUGCCUGCAAAAUACGUCUAACCCUCUCAACCACCUGAUCUUCCUGUCCAACCACGUUCAGGGAUUUGUGAAUGUUCACUCCAAGAUCUCUUUCUUCUUCUACACCACUUGCUAUUCCUCACUUUCAUAGUUCAGUCUCGAAAAAAUCAUUAUCACUCACUCCUGUGGAUUCAAUUCCUUUCACCAUUUUAUCUUUCAACUUGAUUGAUAUCUCCCUGCAGUCCAUAAUUUUUUUUUGUCAUGGUCAACGAUAUGAUUACUUACUGCAUGUCAUGUGCAAACUUCUAAAUUAUGGCUUCUACAGCUAGGUUUUAAUGAUGGUUAUGUUUCACAAAACAGUGGAACUCCACUGGAUUAAAAACUGAAAGGACUGCAAAUGCUGUAAAUCAGAAACAAAUAAAAAGCAGAAAUUACUAGAAAAGGUCAGCAGAAGUGGCAGCAUCUGCAGAGAAAAAUCUUAAGAUAAUAUUUCAGUGUGAGUAACCCUCAGAAUUUCACUGGAAACAGACAACCAGAUAUGGUUCAUUUUUAGUUGGGGAUUUGCAGCAGCUAUA